GUCCUUAAUUAAUUAUUUAAGGUCCGACCUGCUCAAUGCGUAAGUUAAUUGCUGCAGUAACUUGACUGUACUAAGGUAGCAUAAUAAUUAGUUUUUUAAUUGAAAACUGGAAUGAAAGGUUAGACGGAAUUAAAACUGUCUUUUUUAUAGUUUAAUAAAUUAAUAAGUUGGUGAAAAAUCCCACUUGAUUAGGAGGGACGAGAAGACCCUUUAGAUCUUUAUUUAUAUUUUUCUUGAGAAGAUGAGUAUAAAUUUAUCUGGGACGGAUCUAAUAAUUUUUAUCUAUAGAUAAUAAAAAAAUCAUUAAUUAAAUUAAUGAUCCCUUAGAAUGGAUAUGUAGAAAAAGUUACCUAAGGGAUAACAGCAUAAUUCCCCCACAGAGAUCUUAUUUGUGGGGGAGAUUAUGACCUCGAUGUUGAAUUAAGUUAACUAUUGAAA
This 438-nucleotide ribosomal RNA is filed under the name Anatoecus sp. KY-2002. RNAcentral describes it as "partial 16S ribosomal RNA". It matches the Rfam family "Bacterial large subunit ribosomal RNA", at positions 1825 to 2558 of the family's 2925-position model. The record is from RNAcentral. Lineage: Eukaryota; Metazoa; Arthropoda; Insecta; Psocodea; Philopteridae.